AACGAACGCUGGCGGCAGGCCUAACACAUGCAAGUCGAGCGAGGACUUCGGUUCUAGCGGCGGACGGGUGAGUAACGCGGGGGAAUGUGCCCUUCUCUACGGAAUAGCCCUGGGAAACUGGGAGUAAUACCGUAUACGCCCUAUUGGGGAAAGAUUUAUCGGAGAAGGAUCAGCCCGCGUUGGAUUAGGUAGUUGGUGGGGUAAUGGCCUACCAAGCCGACGAUCCAUAGCUGGUUUGAGAGGAUGAUCAGCCACACUGGGACUGAGACACGGCCCAGACUCCUACGGGAGGCAGCAGUGGGGAAUCUUAGACAAUGGGGGCAACCCUGAUCUAGCCAUGCCGCGUGAGUGAUGAAGGCCUUAGGGUUGUAAAGCUCUUUCAGCUGGGAAGAUAAUGACGGUACCAGCAGAAGAAGCCCCGGCUAACUCCGUG
RNAcentral lists this ribosomal RNA (433 nucleotides) under uncultured bacterium. RNAcentral describes it as "partial 16S ribosomal RNA". It matches the Rfam family "Bacterial small subunit ribosomal RNA", at positions 29 to 507 of the family's 1533-position model. The record is from RNAcentral.